Molecule: ribosomal RNA, 457 nt
Filed under: Enterococcus sp. R9.70
Lineage: Bacteria; Bacillati; Bacillota; Bacilli; Lactobacillales; Enterococcaceae
Description: bacterial SSU rRNA
Rfam family: Bacterial small subunit ribosomal RNA
Source: RNAcentral
CGGAGCUUGCUCCACCGGGAAAAGAGGAGUGGCGAACGGGUGAGUAACACGUGGGUAACCUGCCCAUCAGAAGGGGAUAACACUUGGAAACAGGUGCUAAUACCGUAUAACAAUCGAAACCGCAUGGUUUCNUUUUGAAAGGCGCUUUACGGUGCCGCUGAUGGAUGGACCCGCGGUGCAUUAGCUAGUUGGUGAGGUAACGGCUCACCAAGGCCACGAUGCAUAGCCGACCUGAGAGGGUGAUCGGCCACAUUGGGACUGAGACACGGCCCAAACUCCUACGGGAGGCAGCAGUAGGGAAUCUUCGGCAAUGGACGAAAGUCUGACCGAGCAACGCCGCGUGAGUGAAGAAGGUUUUCGGAUCGUAAAACUCUGUUGUUAGAGAAGAACAAGGGUGAGAGUAACUGUUCACCCCUUGACGGUAUCUAACCAGAAAGCCACGGCUAACUACGUGCCA